RNAcentral lists this non-coding RNA (24 nucleotides) under Arabidopsis thaliana (thale cress). The record is from RNAcentral. Lineage: Eukaryota; Viridiplantae; Streptophyta; Magnoliopsida; Brassicales; Brassicaceae.
AGAUCCAAGAAAGACGCCACCUCC